UACGUAGGGUGCAAGCGUUGUCCGGAAUUAUUGGGCGUAAAGAGCUCGUAGGCGGUCUGUCGCGUCUGCUGUGAAAACUCAGGGCUUAACCCUGAGCUUGCAGUGGGUACGGGCAGACUAGAGUGCGGGUAGGGGGAGACUGGAAUUCCUGGGUGAUAGCGGUGAAAUGCGCAGAUAUCAGGAGGAACACCGGUGGCGAAGGCGGGUCUCUGGGCCGUAACUGACGCUGGAGGA
This 234-nucleotide ribosomal RNA is filed under the name uncultured bacterium. RNAcentral describes it as "partial 16S ribosomal RNA". It matches the Rfam family "Bacterial small subunit ribosomal RNA", at positions 524 to 752 of the family's 1533-position model. The record is from RNAcentral.